Molecule: ribosomal RNA, 492 nt
Filed under: uncultured bacterium
Lineage: Bacteria
Description: partial 16S ribosomal RNA
Rfam family: Bacterial small subunit ribosomal RNA
Source: RNAcentral
CUUUCCCUCUUUCUUUCGGCCUAACACAUGCAAGUCGAACGGCAGCACAGUAAGAGCUUGCUCUUACGGGUGGCGAGUGGCGGACGGGUGAGGAAUACAUCGGAAUCUACUUUUUCGUGGGGGAUAACGUAGGGAGACUUACGCUAAUACCGCAUACGACCUACGGGUGAAAGCAGGGGAUCUUCGGACCUUGCGCGAUUGAAUGAGCCGAUGUCGGAUUAGCUAGUUGGCGGGGUAAAGGCCCACCAAGGCGACGAUCCGUAGCUGGUCUGAGAGGAUGAUCAGCCACACUGGAACUGAGACACGGUCCAGACUCCUACGGGAGGCAGCAGUGGGGAAUAUUGGACAAUGGGCGCAAGCCUGAUCCAGCCAUACCGCGUGGGUGAAGAAGGCCUUCGGGUUGUAAAGCCCUUUUGUUGGGAAAGAAAAGCAGCAGGUUAAUACCCCGCUGUUCUGACGGUACCCAAAGAAUAAGCACCGGCUAACUUCGUG